Molecule: ribosomal RNA, 497 nt
Filed under: uncultured bacterium
Lineage: Bacteria
Description: partial 16S ribosomal RNA
Rfam family: Bacterial small subunit ribosomal RNA
Source: RNAcentral
GACGAACGCUGGCGGCGUGCCUAAUACAUGCAAGUUGAGCGAUGAAGAUUGGUGCUUGCCCCAAUUUGAAGAGCAGCGAACGGGUGAGUAACGCGUGGGGAAUCUGCCUUUGAGCGGGGGACAACAUUUGGAAACGAAUGCUAAUACCGCAUAACAACUUUAAACAUAAGUUUUAAGUUUGAAAGAUGCAAUUGCAUCACUCAAAGAUGAUCCCGCGUUGUAUUAGCUAGUUGGUGAGGUAAAGGCUCACCAAGGCGAUGAUACAUAGCCGACCUGAGAGGGUGAUCGGCCACAUUGGGACUGAGACACGGCCCAAACUCCUACGGGAGGCAGCAGUAGGGAAUCUUCGGCAAUGGACGAAAGUCUGACCGAGCAACGCCGCGUGAGUGAAGAAGGGUUUCGGAUCGUAAAACUCUGUUGGUAGAGAAGAACGUUGGUGAGAGUGGAAAGCUCAUCAAGUGACGGUAACUACCCAGAAAGGGACGGCUAACCACGUG